CUUCCUGUUAUGUAUAUAUUAUAUUCAAUAUCUCAUAUAUAGACAUAAGUUAGGUUAUGUAAUGACAUGUUGAAAAUUGUUAGUAUUUAAAAGUUUAAACAAUGGAUCUAAAUAAAAUAUAAUUUAUAUCAAAAUUUAUUUUAGUUGGUUGAUAUGUGGACAAUGGAACUAUAGUACUUGUUUGGGCUUGAUGUUUAAUACUUUGAGUGUGUUAUUGAUUGUAUGCUUGUUGUGAAUGGUUGCUAUCUAAUAUAUUUGGUUAUUUUCAUGAGCUACUGUCGGACUCUACUGGAAUAGUAAGUUGUUGGCUAAAAUAACUAUUCAUACAUCGUGCAGGUAUUUUAGCUAGAUAUUUAUAUGGUAU
RNAcentral lists this long non-coding RNA (364 nucleotides) under Elaeis guineensis (African oil palm). RNAcentral's name for it is "long non-coding RNA (EGUI_LNC012928)". Lineage: Eukaryota; Viridiplantae; Streptophyta; Magnoliopsida; Arecales; Arecaceae. The record is from RNAcentral.